This is a non-coding RNA of Hypoxylon sp. FL1150, 73 nucleotides long. The record is from the annotation of a GenBank genome assembly. Lineage: Eukaryota; Fungi; Ascomycota; Sordariomycetes; Xylariales; Hypoxylaceae.
ACACACGUAGCUCAUCUGGCAAGAGCAUGAGACGCUAGCCUCAAGGUUUCAGGUUCGAAUCCCGGCGUGUGCU